This 352-nucleotide transfer-messenger RNA is filed under the name Verrucomicrobiales bacterium. It matches the Rfam family "transfer-messenger RNA". From Rfam's summary of the family: Bacterial tmRNA, also known as 10Sa RNA or SsrA, is named for its dual tRNA and mRNA-like properties. Lineage: Bacteria; Pseudomonadati; Verrucomicrobiota; Verrucomicrobiia; Verrucomicrobiales. The record is from RNAcentral.
GGGGGCGCUUUGGUUUCGACUGAUGAUAUGAAACUUGAGUUGCAUGCCGAGGAUGAUCUGUUGGCCUCGUAAAAAAGCGGAUCAAAACAUAUAAAUGCAGAUUCUAACGAAUUAGCUCUCGCUGCUUAAUCAGCGACGCCUCGCUCCUGACGCCUGUUAGGGGGACGAGGCGACGACAACAGGCUAGGCUUUCUUCGGGGUGUCCGCGCAGUCAGCUAAAAUAAAACAGGGCAAACGGAACAACUGAGUUUUUUGGAUGCACUUACUGUUCUAUAAUAAGCACCAAAUAAGCAUGUAGACGCUUAAGCAGAGUCUCAUGAGGACAGGGGUUCAACUCCCCUCGCCUCCACUU